This 493-nucleotide ribosomal RNA is filed under the name uncultured bacterium. Its description in RNAcentral is "partial 16S ribosomal RNA". It matches the Rfam family "Bacterial small subunit ribosomal RNA", at positions 28 to 507 of the family's 1533-position model. The record is from RNAcentral.
GACGAACGCUGGCGGCGUGCCUAACACAUGCAAGUUGAGCGACGAACCAGGGCUUGCCCUGGGGCAAAGCAGCGAACGGGUGAGUAACACGUGGGUAACCUACCCCGAUAACCGGGACAACCCGAGGAAACUCGGGCUAAUACCGGAUGUGCUCACUGGACUUCGGUUCAGUGCGUAAAGGAAGUUUCGGCCUCCGUAUCGGGAGGGGCCCGCGGCCCAUUAGUUUGUUGGUGAGGUAACGGCUCACCAAGACCGCGAUGGGUAGCUGGUCUGAGAGGACGAUCAGCCACACUGGGACUGAGACACGGCCCAGACUCCUACGGGAGGCAGCAGUGGGGAAUCUUGCGCAAUGCGCGAAAGCGUGACGCAGCAACGCCGCGUGGGGGAAGAAGGCCUUCGGGUUGUAAACCCCUUUCAGGAGGGACGUAGGUUCGGCGGUGAAUAGCCGUCCGGACUGACGGUACCUCCACAAGAAGCCCCGGCUAACUACGUG